This 257-nucleotide ribosomal RNA is filed under the name uncultured bacterium. RNAcentral describes it as "partial 16S ribosomal RNA". It matches the Rfam family "Bacterial small subunit ribosomal RNA", at positions 99 to 354 of the family's 1533-position model. The record is from RNAcentral.
CGGACGGGUGAGUAACACGUGAGCAACCUGCCUUUCAGAGGGGGACAACAGUUGGAAACGACUGCUAAUACCGCAUAAAAUAACGGAACCGCGUGAUUCUGUUAUCAAAGGAGAAAUCCGCUGAAAGAUGGGCUCGCGUCUGAUUAGAUAGUUGGUGAGGUAACGGCCCACCAAGUCGACGAUCAGUAGCCGGACUGAGAGGUUGAACGGCCACAUUGGGACUGAGACACGGCCCAGACUCCUACGGAAGGCAGCAG